RNAcentral lists this ribosomal RNA (454 nucleotides) under uncultured bacterium. Its description in RNAcentral is "SSU rRNA". It matches the Rfam family "Bacterial small subunit ribosomal RNA", at positions 26 to 518 of the family's 1533-position model. The record is from RNAcentral.
AGGAUGAACGCUGGCGGCGUGCCUAAUACAUGCAAGUCGAGCGGUAAGGCCUCUUCGGAGGUACACGAGCGGCGGACGGCUGAGUAACACGUAGGAACGUACCCCAAACUGAGGGAUAAGCACCAGAAAUGGUGUCUAAUACCGCAUGUGCUCUAAGGAGUAAAGCUUCGGCGGUUUGGGAACGGCCUGCGUCCGAUUAGCUAGUUGGUGAGGUAAUAGCUUACCAAGGCGACGAUCGGUAGCUGGUCUGAGAGGAUGAUCAGCCAGACUGGGACUGAGAACGGCCCAGACUCCUACGGGAGGCAGCAGUAGGGAAUUUUCCACAAUGGGCGAAAGCCUGAUGGAGCAACGCCGCGUGCAGGAUGAAUGCCUUCGGGUUGUAAACUGCUUUAUCUGUGACGAAUAUGACGGUAGCAGAUGAAUAAGGAUCGGCUAACUCCGUGCCAGCAGCCGC